AUACGUAGGUGGCAAGCGUUGUCCGGAAUUAUUGGGCGUAAAGCGCGCGCAGGUGGUUCCUUAAGUCUGAUGUGAAAGCCCCCGGCUCAACCGGGGAGGGUCAUUGGAAACUGGGGAACUUGAGUGCAGAAGAGGAUAGUGGAAUUCCAAGUGUAGCGGUGAAAUGCGUAGAGAUUUGGAGGAACACCAGUGGCGAAGGCGACUGUCUGGUCUGUAACUGACACUGAGGCGCGAAAGCGUGGGGAGCAAACAGGAUUAGAUACCCUGGUAGUCCACGCCGUAAACGAUGAGUGCUAAGUGUUGGGGGGUUUCCGCCCCUCAGUGCUGCAGCUAACGCAUUAAGCACUCCGCCUGGGGAGUACAGUCGCAAGACUGAAACUUAAAGGAAUUGACGGGG
RNAcentral lists this ribosomal RNA (397 nucleotides) under uncultured bacterium. RNAcentral describes it as "partial 16S ribosomal RNA". It matches the Rfam family "Bacterial small subunit ribosomal RNA", at positions 523 to 918 of the family's 1533-position model. The record is from RNAcentral.